Molecule: ribosomal RNA, 459 nt
Filed under: uncultured bacterium
Lineage: Bacteria
Description: partial 16S ribosomal RNA
Rfam family: Bacterial small subunit ribosomal RNA
Source: RNAcentral
CCUACGGGUGGCAGCAGUGAGGAAUAUUGCACAAUGGCCGAAAGGCUGAUCCAGCAACGCCGCGUGAAGGAAGACGGCCCUCGGGUUGUUAAACCUCUUUUUUCGUGAAGCAUGGUGCAGGUCGGGACCUGCUAUGAGAGUACCUGAAGCAAAAGCAUCGGCUAACUCCGUGCCAGCAGCCGCGGUAAUACGGAGGAUGCGAGGGUUAGCCGGAUUUAUUGGGUUAAACGGGUGCGCAGGCGGAGGCAAAAGUCAUCGGUAAAAUCGCGGGGUUAAACCCCGCUCCGCCGUUGAAACUGUGUCCCUUGAGUGCGGGAAGGGUAGGCGGAAUGCGUGGUGUAGCGGUGAAAUGCAUAGAUAUCACGCAGAACACCGAUCGCGAAGGCAGCCUACCGGCGCGCAACUGACGCUCAGGCACGAAAGCGUGGGUAGCGAACAGGAUUAGAUACCCGAGUAGUC